CCGGACCGGGCCGGCCGUGUCCUUUCCGCGGUCCGCCCAGUUGCCGGCAUGCCUGUCUCCGAGCUCCGCACAAGAGACGGGAGAACGCCGGGGAACGGGAGGAGCCCGAAGUUGCGGAUCCCACGAGGAAGCGUCCUGCACUUCCUGGUGACAAGGCAGACUCCCAGAAGCACCAGCAACAGCAGCAUGACAGCAGCAAAUGCACUCCCGAGGGAAGCACCCGUCUGUGAUAAGGAGGCUGCGACCACAGCUUCCUCCAUCUCCAAGAUCAGCGACUUCAUGUUGGUGCCGUUCUUGACCUGAUCGCCCUCGUUGUCGUAGAUCAAGGAGUCAUCCAGCAUCAGCCUCCCAUCACUGUCAACCAGGUCCCUGCGGCCACGCUUUAAGUGGUGAGUAAGAGAUCGUUGAACACGAGGCCCCGCAAUGCUCUCUGGGCCUAUUAUGUAGAUAACUUGAAGGUACCACUGAUGUCC
This 473-nucleotide long non-coding RNA is filed under the name Gallus gallus (chicken). RNAcentral describes it as "long non-coding RNA NONGGAT006900". Lineage: Eukaryota; Metazoa; Chordata; Aves; Galliformes; Phasianidae. The record is from RNAcentral.